GUGCCUACGGGGCGCAGCAGUGAGGAAUAUUGGUCAAUGGGCGGAAGCCUGAACCAGCCAAGUCGCGUAAGGGACUAAGGCCCUACGGGUCGUAAACCUCUUUUGCCGGGGAGCAAGGGCGGGGACGUGUCCCGGCCCGGAGAGUACCCGGAGAAAAAGCAUCGGCUAACUCCGUGCCAGCCGGCGCGGGAAUACGGAGGAUGCGAGCGUUAUCCGGAUUUAUUGGGUUUAAAGGGUGCGUAGGCGGGCUUUUAAGUCAGCGGUA
This 265-nucleotide ribosomal RNA is filed under the name uncultured bacterium. Its description in RNAcentral is "partial 16S ribosomal RNA". It matches the Rfam family "Bacterial small subunit ribosomal RNA", at positions 334 to 596 of the family's 1533-position model. The record is from RNAcentral.